CUCACAAGUGUAUAUAACUGUAAUGACCGAGACCUUAAAUGUUAAUGAAGCUACUACGGUGUAUCAUUUACGGUGCCUUCAAAGCUAUGGCUUGCUAUCUUCUAACUUGACAGAGUUAUCAGAAACGAUAUGUGAAUUUAACAAAACCGUUAUGAAACUCGACGGCAAACUUCGCUCUUUAGAAAAAAAAAUGAUGCUACUGUAUACGCCCUUUCGCUCUUCCUUGUACUCUUACCACCAGUACCAAAGUUGCCUGCACAAAUAAUUUAUUCGAGUUCAUAAAAGCAUAAAAAGGGUAAUACUUUGCAAAUCAAUGGCUCGUGGUAUCAAG
This is a long non-coding RNA of Zophobas morio, 331 nucleotides long. RefSeq lists it as uncharacterized. The transcript has 3 exons. Lineage: Eukaryota; Metazoa; Arthropoda; Insecta; Coleoptera; Tenebrionidae. The record is from RefSeq and is a predicted model, not a curated record.